GAUGAACGCUGGCGGCGUGCCUAAUACAUGCAAGUCGAACGAACAGACCAGGAGCUUGCUCCUUUGACGUUAGCGGCGGACGGGUGUGUAACACGUGGAUCACCCACCUUUAGGUCUGGGAUCACUUCGGGAAACCGGCGCUAAUAUCGGAUAAUCUAUUGAACCGCAUGGUUCAAUAGUUAAAUACGGCUUUGCUGUCUCUAAUCGCUGGAUACGAGCCGGAUUAGCUAGUUGGUAAGGUAACGGCUUACCAAGGCAACGAUGCGUAGCCGACGUGAUAGGGUGAUCGGCCACACUGGAACUGAGACACGGUCCAGACUCCUACGGGAGGCAGCAGUGGGGAAUCUUGCGCAAUGGGCGGAAGCAUGACGGAGCAACGGCGCGUGGGUGACGAAGGUCUUCGGAUCGUAAUACUCUGUUAUUAGGUAAGAACAGCUGUGUAAUUAACUAUGGCGGUAUUGACGGUACCGAGUCAGAAAGCACCGGCUAACUACGUG
Molecule: ribosomal RNA, 497 nt
Filed under: uncultured bacterium
Lineage: Bacteria
Description: partial 16S ribosomal RNA
Rfam family: Bacterial small subunit ribosomal RNA
Source: RNAcentral